Molecule: ribosomal RNA, 497 nt
Filed under: uncultured bacterium
Lineage: Bacteria
Description: partial 16S ribosomal RNA
Rfam family: Bacterial small subunit ribosomal RNA
Source: RNAcentral
GAUGAACGCUGGCGGCGUGCCUAAUACAUGCAAGUCGAGCGAACAGACGAGGAGCUUGCUCCUCUGACGUUAGCGGCGGACGGGUGAGUAACACGUGGAUAACCUACCUAUAAGACUGGGAUAACUUCGGGAAACCGGAGCUAAUACCGGAUAAUAUAUUGAACCGCAUGGUUCAAUAGUGAAAGACGGUUUUGCUGUCACUUAUAGAUGGAUCCGCGCCGCAUUAGCUAGUUGGUAAGGUAACGGCUUACCAAGGCGACGAUGCGUAGCCGACCUGAGAGGGUGAUCGGCCACACUGGAACUGAGACACGGUCCAGACUCCUACGGGAGGCAGCAGUAGGGAAUCUUCCGCAAAGGGCGAAAGCCUGACGGAGCAACGCCGCGUGAGUGAUGAAGGUCUUCGGAUCGUAAAACUCUGUUAUUAGGGAAGAACAAAUGUGUAAGUAACUAUGCACGCCUUGACGGUACCUAAUCAGAAAGCCACGGCUAACUACGUG